GUACACACCCGCCCGUCGCUACUACCGAUUGAAUGAUUUAGUGAGUUUUGCGGAUUCCGUGUGUGGGUGUCAAAGCCUGUGCGUGGGAGAAGCAGCGCAAACUUGACCAUUUAGAGGAAGUAAAAGUCGUAACAAGGUAACCGUAGGUGAACCUGCAGAAGGAUCA
RNAcentral lists this ribosomal RNA (166 nucleotides) under uncultured eukaryote. RNAcentral describes it as "partial small subunit ribosomal RNA". It matches the Rfam family "Eukaryotic small subunit ribosomal RNA", at positions 1662 to 1828 of the family's 1831-position model. The record is from RNAcentral.